GCUACUAGAUCGAAAGGAACAAGUGAGGAUGCUGGAAGGUAUACUAGGCGAGGUGUUGGCUCUAGGUCAUCAACAGGUUCUGAUCCUUUCUUUGCCUCUCCCGCGACUUGCGUGGUAUCGAACUGCAAUUAUAGGAUUUGGCUAAAGUGCAGGUGGUUUAUAUUCAACUACCAGUGCUAUUGUUAGCUAAGCAACCGCCUCUGUCUCUAAUGCUUGGGGUAUAUUUGUGUUGAAGUUUCUUUACCCUGGUGCCUCCUUCUCGAGGUGUUGCUUACUCACUCCUCGGACUUUAUUACCCAAUACAUAUGGAUUGGGGGCUAGGGGUAACACAUGCCAACCCAGGGCGAAGGGAAGCAGGGACAGGCAAGGAUGCAGGAAUAGAUGGUUGUGAAUAAACCAGUACUUUGGCCGGGUCAACUUCACUCGGUCCUUCUGACUCCGCCUUUGCCUCUGCUUGCAUAAAGUUCCUGGGAUGGGAAGCCUAUUGCAUCCACACGUAGAGUCAUCAGUACCUUCCGGAAACUUAGUAGUAUGAUGAAGCUCUCCCCCUCCUCUUCCUCGCCCGUCUGGCGUGCCUUAGGUGGUGUUCUUUUCACGUGGGAUGAUCCCCGUGUCGUUGUGUUCCCUCGCCUCCCCCAGAUCUUUUUCUUUUUCACAUCCGCGCACACGCGCGCUUGUCUCUUAUACGAUGACAUGUAGUCUAUUGACCAUGCCUGCUAUUGCUCGUUCUUAUCCGAACCUUUAAAGGCUACUCAUGCAAAAAUUCUCCUAGUUGUUUUCCUUGUCACUAACCAUGGAUAAGUCUGAUUCCCCCACCGUAGCAGCUCUUCAGCCGUUUAACAAGCUAAAUAGAGAUUCCCCGACAUUCUAAGUGAGCAGACGAUUAAUCAAAAAAGUACGGGACCUGCGCUUUGAAUAGUGGGUUCUUUUUAGUUUCUUAAUCAGAACAUAUAGUUCACAACUCUCUCGAAAUGAAUGAGUAGGCUCUCCCAUUUUUCAAAAGUAUGGGUGCUUUCGCCUACGACUUUCUCAUCAUAGGUUUGUUUAAAGAGGUAGUGAUUCUAGGACUAGAGGUGAUAAAGUCGACCAAUGAUAGGCGAACAACUAACUUCUCUGGUGUCCGUCAAAGGAUUUGGAGGUAGGGGAUGACCUGUAAUUAAUCUGGCUGUUCG
Molecule: long non-coding RNA, 1172 nt
Filed under: Amborella trichopoda
Lineage: Eukaryota; Viridiplantae; Streptophyta; Magnoliopsida; Amborellales; Amborellaceae
Description: long non-coding RNA (ATRI_LNC003385)
Source: RNAcentral